Molecule: non-coding RNA, 73 nt
Organism: Cordylochernes scorpioides
Lineage: Eukaryota; Metazoa; Arthropoda; Arachnida; Pseudoscorpiones; Chernetidae
Source: the annotation of a GenBank genome assembly
GUCCAGGGGCGGGAAUCGAACCCACACCCUUCUGCUUACCGGGCAGGUGCCUUGCCCACUCGGCUACCCUGGA